Molecule: ribosomal RNA, 844 nt
Filed under: Sarcocystis miescheriana
Lineage: Eukaryota; Apicomplexa; Conoidasida; Eucoccidiorida; Sarcocystidae
Description: SSU rRNA
Rfam family: Eukaryotic small subunit ribosomal RNA
Source: RNAcentral
GUGUUUAUUAGAUACAGAACCAACACAUCAUUAUUACCAUAUUUUAUGGUGGUGGUGAUGUAAAAUAAGGUGAUUCAUAGUAACCGAACGGAUCGCAUUAUAAUUAUCAUUAUUUGAUGAUUGGCGAUAGAUCAUUCAAGUUUCUGACCUAUCAGCUUUCGACGGUAGUGUAUUGGACUACCGUGGCAGUGACGGGUAACGGGGAAUUAGGGUUCGAUUCCGGAGAGGGAGCCUGAGAAACGGCUACCACAUCUAAGGAAGGCAGCAGGCGCGCAAAUUACCCAAUCCUGACUCAGGGAGGUAGUGACAAGAAAUAACAACACUGGAAAUUUGAUUUCUAGUGAUUGGAAUGAUGGGAAUCCAAACCCCUUUCAGAGUAACAAUUGGAGGGCAAGUCUGGUGCCAGCAGCCGCGGUAAUUCCAGCUCCAAUAGCGUAUAUUAAAGUUGUUGCAGUUAAAAAGCUCGUAGUUGGAUGUCUGUUGGAAGCAAUCAUCAGUCCGCCCUAUUUGAUUAGGGUGUGAAUAUGAUGAAUUCCGGCAUAAUUGUCUCCCUAUUGUUAAUAUUCUGAUUGUUAGAUUCAUUUCUAACAAUAAUACGAUUAUUAAUAAUAAGGGGGAAAUGUUACUUUGAGAAAAUUAGAGUGUUUGAAGCAGGCUUUUGUUGCCUUGAAUACUGCAGCAUGGAAUAACAAUAUAGGAUUUCGGUUCUAUUUUGUUGGUUCUUUUUUUAGGACUGAAAUAAUGAUUAAUAGGGACAGUUGGGGGCAUUCGUAUUUAACUGUCAGAGGUGAAAUUCUUAGAUUUGUUAAAGACGAACUACUGCGAAAGCAUUGCCAAAGACUUU